GGCCGUGUAGCUCAAUGGCAGAGCGUCUGACUACGAAUAGUGUCCACCGAUACUUGAUAUGUAAUCAGAAGGUCGCAGGUUCGACCCCUGUCUCGGUCA
This 99-nucleotide transfer RNA is filed under the name Metarhizium acridum. RNAcentral's name for it is "tRNA-Arg". It matches the Rfam family "tRNA". From Rfam's summary of the family: Transfer RNA (tRNA) molecules are approximately 80 nucleotides in length. Their secondary structure includes four short double-helical elements and three loops (D, anti-codon, and T loops). RNAcentral also lists the same sequence under 1 other name. The record is from RNAcentral. Lineage: Eukaryota; Fungi; Ascomycota; Sordariomycetes; Hypocreales; Clavicipitaceae.